AGAGUUUGAUCCUGGCUCAGAUUGAACGCUGGCGGCAUGCCUUACACAUGCAAGUCGAACGGCAGCAUGAUAUGUAGCAAUACAUAUUGAUGGCGAGUGGCGAACGGGUGAGAAAUACAUCGGAACGUGUCCUGUAAUGGGGGAUAACGCAGCGAAAGUUGUGCUAAUACCGCAUACGAUCUACGGAUGAAAGCAGGGGACCGCAAGGCCUUGCGUUAUUGGAGCGGCCGAUGUCUGAUUAGCUUGUUGGCGGGGUAACGGCCCACCAAGGCGACGAUCAGUAGCUGGUCUGAGAGGAUGAUCAGCCACACUGGGACUGAGACACGGCCCAGACUCCUACGGGAGGCAGCAGUGGGGAAUUUUGGACAAUGGGGGCAACCCUGAUCCAGCAAUGCCGCGUGAGUGAAGAAGGCCUUCGGGUUGUAAAGCUCUUUUGUCAGGGAAGAAACGGUGGGGGCGAAUAACUUCUACUAAUGACGGUACCUGAAGAAUAAGCACCGGCUAACUACGUGCCAGCAGCCGCGGUAAU
RNAcentral lists this ribosomal RNA (529 nucleotides) under uncultured bacterium. RNAcentral describes it as "bacterial SSU rRNA". It matches the Rfam family "Bacterial small subunit ribosomal RNA", at positions 8 to 524 of the family's 1533-position model. The record is from RNAcentral.